This 938-nucleotide ribosomal RNA is filed under the name uncultured bacterium. RNAcentral describes it as "bacterial SSU rRNA". It matches the Rfam family "Bacterial small subunit ribosomal RNA", at positions 428 to 1375 of the family's 1533-position model. The record is from RNAcentral.
AACNUCUUUCAGUNGGGAAGAAGCGAAAGUGACGGUACCUGCAGAAGAAGCACCGGCUAACUACGUGCCAGCAGCCGCGGUAAUACGUAGGGUGCGAGCGUUAUCCGGAAUUAUUGGGCGUAAAGAGCUCGUAGGCGGUUUGUCGCGUCUGUCGUGAAAGUCCGGGGCUUAACCCCGGAUCUGCGGUGGGUACGGGCAGACUAGAGUGCAGUAGGGGAGACUGGAAUUCCUGGUGUAGCGGUGGAAUGCGCAGAUAUCAGGAGGAACACCGAUGGCGAAGGCAGGUCUCUGGGCUGUAACUGACGCUGAGGAGCGAAAGCAUGGGGAGCGAACAGGAUUAGAUACCCUGGUAGUCCAUGCCGUAAACGUUGGGCACUAGGUGUGGGGACCAUUCCACGGUUUCCGCGCCGCAGCUAACGCAUUAAGUGCCCCGCCUGGGGAGUACGGCCGCAAGGCUAAAACUCAAAGGAAUUGACGGGGGCCCGCACAAGCGGCGGAGCAUGCGGAUUAAUUCGAUGCAACGCGAAGAACCUUACCAAGGCUUGACAUGUUCCCGAUCGCCGUAGAGAUACGAUUUCCCCUUUGGGGCGGGUUCACAGGUGGUGCAUGGUUGUCGUCAGCUCGUGUCGUGAGAUGUUGGGUUAAGUCCCGCAACGAGCGCAACCCUCGUUCCAUGUUGCCAGCACGUAAUGGUGGGGACUCAUGGGAGACUGCCGGGGUCAACUCGGAGGAAGGUGAGGACGACGUCAAAUCAUCAUGCCCCUUAUGUCUUGGGCUUCACGCAUGCUACAAUGGCCGGUACAAUGGGUUGCGAUACUGUGAGGUGGAGCUAAUCCCAAAAAGCCGGCCUCAGUUCGGAUUGGGGUCUGCAACUCGACCCCAUGAAGUCGGAGUCGCUAGUAAUCGCAGAUCAGCAACGCUGCGGUGAAUACGUUCCC